GUCCAUGUAUCUCUGGGACCUGUCGGCUGUGGCAAUCUCCCUUGCUGGCCAUGGAAGAGUAGUAUGUUCUUGUUUAUUGGCAAAGUGCUCACCAUUUAAUUGGUAUCAGAUUCUACCCAGCACAAGUAACAUUC
Echinops telfairi (small Madagascar hedgehog) is the source of this 134-nucleotide small nucleolar RNA. Lineage: Eukaryota; Metazoa; Chordata; Mammalia; Afrosoricida; Tenrecidae. The record is from Ensembl.